This 87-nucleotide transfer RNA is filed under the name Caenibius tardaugens NBRC 16725. RNAcentral describes it as "Novosphingobium tardaugens NBRC 16725 tRNA". It matches the Rfam family "tRNA". Rfam says of the family: Transfer RNA (tRNA) molecules are approximately 80 nucleotides in length. Their secondary structure includes four short double-helical elements and three loops (D, anti-codon, and T loops). The record is from Rfam by way of RNAcentral. RNAcentral also lists the same sequence under 1 other name. Lineage: Bacteria; Pseudomonadati; Pseudomonadota; Alphaproteobacteria; Sphingomonadales; Erythrobacteraceae.
GGACAGGUGGCCGAGUGGUUUAAGGCACCGGUCUUGAAAACCGGCGUGGGUGCAAGCUCACCGUGGGUUCGAAUCCCACCCUGUCCG